This 413-nucleotide long non-coding RNA is filed under the name Canis lupus dingo (dingo). RNAcentral describes it as "lncRNA (ENSCAFG00020013579.1)". Lineage: Eukaryota; Metazoa; Chordata; Mammalia; Carnivora; Canidae. The record is from RNAcentral.
AAUCUUGUUUAAAAACUGGUUUUAAAAUAAUUACUGAUUUUCUGAAAAAGAUGUGAUCAGUUUUCAUCUUGUUGAGCGUUUUUUCACUAGUGCAACUUUGGAUUUUUUAUGAGAAUUUUGGUACCUUAAUGAACACCUCGCUCCAUGCUGGAAGCACUAAGCACAAAGCUUUUAAAGACAUUCUGACUUGACUAUUUGAGGUCGCACUCGCCAAGGCUGAGGAUGUGUAACCCUUAAACGGUCUUCAUUGUCAAAGGAAAUGUCAGCCAUCGUGGGAAGUCAGAGACACAGGUUGUGCCCGAGGAGCAAGCAUAGGGGCUUUCCUUCGAAUUCUGGACGGCCUACGAAUCGUCAACUCACCAACGUGCCUAGUCAGUACAUGAAUUCACUUGGGAGCUUGAAAAUCACCUGAA